This 331-nucleotide ribosomal RNA is filed under the name uncultured eukaryote. Its description in RNAcentral is "partial 18S ribosomal RNA". It matches the Rfam family "Eukaryotic small subunit ribosomal RNA", at positions 1470 to 1796 of the family's 1831-position model. The record is from RNAcentral.
CCCUUAGAUGUUCUGGGCCGCACGCGCGCUACACUGACGAAGUCAGCGAGCAUGUCCUACGCCGACAGGUGCGGGGAAUCUUGUCAAACUUCGUCGUGAUGGGGAUUGAUUUUCGAAAUUCUUGAUCAUAAACGAGGAAUUCCUAGUAAGCGCAAGUCAGCAGCUUGCGUUGAUUACGUCCCUGCCCUUUGUACACACCGCCCGUCGCUACUACCGAUUGAAUGGUUUAGUGAGAUCUUCGGAUUGGCGCCACUGCAGCUCAGCAAUGGGCUUGGUGGAUGCCGAAAAGUUGAUCAAACUUGAUCAUUUAGAGGAAGUAAAAGUCGUAACA